GAAUAGUUUUUAAAAAGCUGCUAACUUUUUAAUAGCGUUAAUAGCUACUAGUUA
This 54-nucleotide transfer RNA is filed under the name Cheiracanthium brevispinum. RNAcentral's name for it is "tRNA-Ser". The record is from RNAcentral. Lineage: Eukaryota; Metazoa; Arthropoda; Arachnida; Araneae; Cheiracanthiidae.